Molecule: ribosomal RNA, 253 nt
Filed under: uncultured bacterium
Lineage: Bacteria
Description: partial 16S ribosomal RNA
Rfam family: Bacterial small subunit ribosomal RNA
Source: RNAcentral
UACGUAGGCAGCGAGCGUUGUUCGGAGUUACUGGGCGUAAAGGGUGUGUAGGCGGUUGUUUAAGUUUGGUGUGAAAUCUCCCGGCUCAACUGGGAGGGUGCGCCGAAUACUGAAUGACUAGAGUGCGGGAGAGGAAAGUGGAAUUCCUGGUGUAGCGGUGAAAUGCGUAGAUAUCGAGAGGAACACCUGCGGCGAAGGCGGGUUGCUGGGCCGACACUGACGCUGAUGCGCGAAAGCCAGGGGAGCGAACGGG